RNAcentral lists this transfer RNA (88 nucleotides) under Bacillota bacterium. RNAcentral's name for it is "tRNA-Ser". It matches the Rfam family "tRNA". Rfam says of the family: Transfer RNA (tRNA) molecules are approximately 80 nucleotides in length. The record is from RNAcentral. Lineage: Bacteria; Bacillati; Bacillota. RNAcentral also lists the same sequence under 1 other name.
GGAGGUUUGGCUGAGUGGUCUAAAGCACCGGUCUUGAAAACCGGCGAAGUGAAAGCUUCCUAGAGUUCGAAUCUCUAAGCCUCCGCCA